RNAcentral lists this ribosomal RNA (641 nucleotides) under Salmonella enterica. RNAcentral's name for it is "partial 23S ribosomal RNA". It matches the Rfam family "Bacterial large subunit ribosomal RNA", at positions 548 to 1191 of the family's 2925-position model. Lineage: Bacteria; Pseudomonadati; Pseudomonadota; Gammaproteobacteria; Enterobacterales; Enterobacteriaceae. RNAcentral also lists the same sequence under 1 other name. The record is from RNAcentral.
ACCUGAAACCGUGUACGUACAAGCAGUGGGAGCACCCUUUGGGUGUGACUGCGUACCUUUUGUAUAAUGGGUCAGCGACUUAUAUUCUGUAGCAAGGUUAACCGAAUAGGGGAGCCGGAGGGAAACCGAGUCUUAACCGGGCGUUAAGUUGCAGGGUAUAGACCCGAAACCCGGUGAUCUAGCCAUGGGCAGGUUGAAGGUUGGGUAACACUAACUGGAGGACCGAACCGACUAAUGUUGAAAAAUUAGCGGAUGACCUGUGGCUGGGGGUGAAAGGCCAAUCAAACCGGGAGAUAGCUGGUUCUCCCCGAAAGCUAUUUAGGUAGCGCCUCGUGAAUUCAUCUCCGGGGGUAGAGCACUGUUUCGGCUAGGGGGCCAUCCCGGCUUACCAACCCGAUGCAAACUGCGAAUACCGGAGAAUGUUAUCACGGGAGACACACGGCGGGUGCUAACGUCCGUCGUGAAGAGGGAAACAACCCAGACCGCCAGCUAAGGUCCCAAAGUCAUGGUUAAGUGGGAAACGAUGUGGGAAGGCCCAGACAGCCAGGAUGUUGGCUUAGAAGCAGCCAUCAUUUAAAGAAAGCGUAAUAGCUCACUGGUCGAGUCGGCCUGCGCGGAAGAUGUAACGGGGCUAAACCAUG